This 641-nucleotide ribosomal RNA is filed under the name Paracoccus sp. (in: a-proteobacteria). RNAcentral's name for it is "bacterial SSU rRNA". It matches the Rfam family "Bacterial small subunit ribosomal RNA", at positions 41 to 728 of the family's 1533-position model. Lineage: Bacteria; Pseudomonadati; Pseudomonadota; Alphaproteobacteria; Rhodobacterales; Paracoccaceae. The record is from RNAcentral.
GGCAGGCCUAACACAUGCAAGUCGAGCGAACCCUUCGGGGUUAGCGGCGGACGGGUGAGUAACGCGUGGGAAUGUGCCCUUCUCUACGGAAUAGUCCUGGGAAACUGGGGGUAAUACCGUAUACGCCCUUUGGGGGAAAGAUUUAUCGGAGAAGGAUCAGCCCGCGUUGGAUUAGGUAGUUGGUGGGGUAAUGGCCUACCAAGCCUACGAUCCAUAGCUGGUUUGAGAGGAUGAUCAGCCACACUGGGACUGAGACACGGCCCAGACUCCUACGGGAGGCAGCAGUGGGGAAUCUUAGACAAUGGGGGCAACCCUGAUCUAGCCAUGCCGCGUGAGUGAUGAAGGCCUUAGGGUUGUAAAGCUCUUUCAGCUGGGAAGAUAAUGACGGUACCAGCAGAAGAAGCCCCGGCUAACUCCGUGCCAGCAGCCGCGGUAAUACGGAGGGGGCUAGCGUUGUUCGGAAUUACUGGGCGUAAAGCGCACGUAGGCGGACUGGAAAGUUGGGGGUGAAAUCCCGGGGCUCAACCCCGGAACUGCCUUCAAAACUAUCAGUCUUGAGUUCGAGAGAGGUGAGUGGAAUUCCGAGUGUAGAGGUGAAAUUCGUAGAUAUUCGGAGGAACACCAGUGGCGAAGGCGGCUCA